RNAcentral lists this ribosomal RNA (280 nucleotides) under unidentified marine bacterioplankton. RNAcentral describes it as "partial 16S ribosomal RNA". It matches the Rfam family "Bacterial small subunit ribosomal RNA", at positions 58 to 339 of the family's 1533-position model. The record is from RNAcentral.
CAAGUCGAACGGUAACGCGGACUUCGGUCUGGCGACGAGUGGCGAACGGGUGAGUAAUGCAUCGGAACGUAUCCAUUUGGUGGGGGAUACGCCCGGACGAAAGCCGGAUUAAUACCGCAUAAUCUCUGAGGAGGAAGUGGGGACCUUCGGGCCUUACGCUGAUGGAGCGGCUGAUGUCGGAUUAGCUAGUUGGUAGGGUAAAGGCCUACCAAGGCGACGAUCCGUAGCUGGUCUGAGAGGACGACCAGCCACACUGGAACUGAGACACGGUCCAGACUCC